AUCAAAAUAUAAUUAUACAAAAUAUACAAACAAAGCAAGCAAGCUAACCAAAGUGUUGAACUACAUACAUUAGGAAAUUAGCUGUAAGUUUCAGUCAGAUCAGCCGACAUGUUUAUCAUUUCUUCUUAAGACAAUUUGAAAUGAAACAAAUGACAAACGACAAUGACCCUUUGUCGUAAUUUUAUUUUUAUUAUGAGAUUUUGUCAAACAAGCAGUAUAAAUAAAUUUAACUUCAUUGUAAGAUUGGACAUUAUUUUACGAGAAUCAUCCAGAUAUCAGUUACAUGCAUACGUUGCAAGUAUGUCAAAACUUCUAAGAAUAAUUUUUUAUCGGCCUGACCUUCUGAAUACUCAAUUUUUGAAAGUUUUGAAAAAAAGACAUUAAAAAAAGAAGGAUCAAAUCAUACGCAACAUGCGUACUAAGUUUUAAGUUUUAAGGACUUCAACUUCAUCAAAAACUACCUUGACCAAAAACUUUAACCUGAAGCUGGACGUACGGACGAACGAACGGACAAACGGACGCACAGACCAGAAAACAUAAAUUGGACAUAAAAAUAACUCUCACCAUUCUAUAACCCCGGUAACCUGUACACAAUCGGCGCGAAUGAAAGACAAAAUCUACACAAGUGAAAGAAUAAAAACAAAUGAAAUGCAGAUUGGCGCAAAUAUAAGACAAAAUCUAUACGCAUGUGAAAGAAUAAAAAAAAUGAGAUGCCGAUCGGCGCAAAAAAAAUCGUGAUCAAAAUUCAUAUUUUAUUAUUUUUAUUAGAACGAAGGUUAAAUAUAGUGUAGUAUCUUUUGUGUCCAUUUGUGUUAAAUUGCCACAAGAUAUCAGCGCAACGCUUAAUUCCUAUUUUCUUGGGAGACGUAUUUUUAAGCGUACACCAUGUUGGAAUUCGUGAAAACGCGAAAUAGGACGUUAUAAUUUGACGUUUUUUCAUUGCUAGAUACAACGUCAUAGAGCUUUUAUGUCACAACCAAGUUGCGUUAGUUGAUGCGCAUAAACAAUAGGCUGUUUGGUCUUUAA
RNAcentral lists this long non-coding RNA (1026 nucleotides) under Mytilus galloprovincialis (Mediterranean mussel). The record is from RNAcentral. Lineage: Eukaryota; Metazoa; Mollusca; Bivalvia; Mytilida; Mytilidae.